Molecule: ribosomal RNA, 301 nt
Filed under: uncultured bacterium
Lineage: Bacteria
Description: partial 16S ribosomal RNA
Rfam family: Bacterial small subunit ribosomal RNA
Source: RNAcentral
CAGUCGCCACGGUAAUACGGAGGGGGCUAGCGUUGUUCGGAAUUACUGGGCGUAAAGCGCACGUAGGCGGCUUGGUAAGUUAGAGGUGAAAGCCUGGAGCUCAACUCCAGAAUUGCCUUUAAGACUGCCGAGCUAGCAGGUGAGAGAGGUAAGUGGAAUUCCGAGUGUAGAGGUGAAAUUCGUAGAUAUUCGGAAGAACACCAGUGGCGAAGGCGGCUUACUGGCUCAUACUGGACGCUGAGGUGCGAAAGCGUGGGGAGCAAACAGGAUUAGAUACCCGCGUAGUCCCUGUCUCUUAUAU